GAUGAACGCUGGCGGCGUGCCUAAUACAUGCAAGUCGAGCGAACAGACGAGGAGCUUGCUCCUCUGACGUUAGCGGCGGACGGGUGAGUAACACGUGGAUAACCUACCUAUAAGACUGGGAUAACUUCGGGAAACCGGAGCUAAUACCGGAUAAUAUAUUGAACCGCAUGGUUCAAUAGUGAAAGACGGUUUUGCUGUCACUUAUAGAUGGAUCCGCGCCGCAUUAGCUAGUUGGUAAGGUAACGGCUUACCAAGGCAACGAUGCGUAGCCGACCUGAGAGGGUGAUCGGCCACACUGGGACUGAGACACGGUCCAGAAUCCUACGGGGGGCAGCAGUAGGGAAUCUUCCGCAAUGGGCGAAAGCUUGACGGAGCAACGCCGCGUGAGGGAUGAAGGUCUUCGGAUCGGAAAACUCUGUUAUUAGGGAAGAACAAAUGUGUAAGUAACUAUGCACGUCUUGACGGUACCUAAUCAGAAAGCCACGGCUAACUACGUG
This 497-nucleotide ribosomal RNA is filed under the name uncultured bacterium. Its description in RNAcentral is "partial 16S ribosomal RNA". It matches the Rfam family "Bacterial small subunit ribosomal RNA", at positions 28 to 507 of the family's 1533-position model. The record is from RNAcentral.